ACGGGGUGCAGCAGGCGCGAAAACUUUGCAAUGUGCGAAAGCACGACAAGGUUAAUCCGAGUGAUUUGUGCUAAACGAAUCUUUUGUUAGUCCUAGAACCACUAACGAAUAAGGGGUGGGCAAGUUCUGGUGUCAGCCGCCGCGGUAAAACCAGCACCUCAAGUGGUCAGGAUGAUUAUUGGGCCUAAAGCAUCCGUAGCCGGCUCUGUAAGUUUUCGGUUAAAUCUGUACGCUUAACGUACAGGCUGCCGGGAAUACUGCAGAGCUAGGGAGUGGGAGAGGUAGACGGUACUCGGUAGGAAGGGGUAAAAUCCUUUGAUCUAUUGAUGACCACCUGUGGCGAAGGCGGUCUACCAGAACACGUCCGACGGUGAGGGAUGAAAGCUGGGGGAGCAAACCGGAUUAGAUACCCGGGUAGUCCCAGCUGUAAACUAUGCAAACUCAGUGAUGCAUUGACUUGUGGUCAAUGCAGUGCUGCAGGGAAGCCGUUAAGUUUGCCGCCUGGGAAGUACGUACGCAAGUAUGAAACUUAAAGGAAUUGGCGGGGGAGCAC
RNAcentral lists this ribosomal RNA (553 nucleotides) under uncultured archaeon. RNAcentral's name for it is "bacterial SSU rRNA". It matches the Rfam family "Archaeal small subunit ribosomal RNA", at positions 325 to 879 of the family's 1478-position model. The record is from RNAcentral.